RNAcentral lists this unclassified non-coding RNA (154 nucleotides) under uncultured Idriella. RNAcentral's name for it is "sequence contains ITS2". Lineage: Eukaryota; Fungi; Ascomycota; Sordariomycetes. The record is from RNAcentral.
CAACCCUUAAGCUUAGCUUAGUAUUGGGAAUCUGCUUAACCGCAGCUCCUUAAAUCUAGUUGGCAGAGCACGUCUGUACUCUGAGCGUAGUAAUUCAUUAUCUCGCUUUCUGAAGACAGUCGUACGAUCGCCAUAAACCUAUUUAUUUUUUAAU